This 662-nucleotide ribosomal RNA is filed under the name uncultured fungus. Its description in RNAcentral is "eukaryotic LSU rRNA". It matches the Rfam family "Eukaryotic large subunit ribosomal RNA", at positions 24 to 664 of the family's 3401-position model. Lineage: Eukaryota; Fungi. The record is from RNAcentral.
CCCGCUGAACUUAAGCAUAUCAGUAAGCAGAGGAAAAGAAAUUAACUAAGAUUACCUCAGUAGCGGCGAGCGAAGUGGUAAUAGCUCAAACUUUAAAUCUAAGGUCAUUUAGAUCUUCGAAUUGUAAUCUAAAGGAUGUGACAAAAACUUGAAUAAAAGAAUAAGUUCCUUGGAACAGGACACCAAAGAGGGUGACAGUCCCGUAUUUGUCUUUUUGAAAAGUGAAUGUCUAGUCUCAUAGAGUCGGGUUGUUUGGGAUUGCAGCCCUAAAUGGGAGAUAAACUUCUUCUAAGGCUAAAUAUUUAUGAGAAACCGAUAGUGAACAAGUACUGUGAAGGAAAGAUGAAAAGAACUUUGAAAAGAGGGUUAAAAGACUUGAAAUCGUUGAGAAGGAAGCGGUAAAAACGAAUUAAUUACUUGUGGCGGUUCAACUUGGUGAAUUUAGGCUCUUUGGGUAUGCACUUCAUAGGCUAACUGGAAGAGUCACGAAAUUCUCAGGGGUCUUCUCAAGUAAAAGACAAAAUGAGAUACUACUUAUAGUAAUCAGUUUAAUAAAAGCUGUGCUUCUGUACAAUUUAUUAUUCAAAACUAUCUGAGUAUCUGAGGGAAAGAGAUUUCUGAUUUUGUCAAAAUGGUUUUUACUGACCCGUCUUGAAACACGG